Molecule: ribosomal RNA, 427 nt
Filed under: uncultured bacterium
Lineage: Bacteria
Description: bacterial SSU rRNA
Rfam family: Bacterial small subunit ribosomal RNA
Source: RNAcentral
UUAGGAAUAUUCGUCAAUGGGGGAAACCCUGAACGAGCAAUGCCGCGUGAAGGAAGACGGUCCUCUGGAUUGUAAACUUCUGUUGUUAGGGAAGAACGACCUGUGUAGGAAAUGACAUAGGAGUGACGGUACCUUUCAAGAAAGCUCCGGCUAACUACGUGCCAGCAGCCGCGGUAAUACGUAGGGAGCGAGCGUUAUCCGGAAUUAUUGGGUGUAAAGCGUGUGUAGGCGGGAAAUUAAGUCUAAGGUCUAAGCCCGGAGCUCAACUCCGGUUCGCCUUAGAAACUGAUUUUCUUGAGUGUGGUAGAGGCAAACGGAAUUUCUAGUGUAGCGGUAAAAUGCGUAGAUAUUAGAAGGAACACCAGUGGCGAAGGCGGUUUGCUGGGCCACUACUGACGCUGAGACACGAAAGCGUGGGGAGCAAAUA